UCAUUCUAGACUAAUAGAAUAUUUAAAAGAAAAAAUAUAUAGAUAUUUUGUUAAAAAUUUUAAAUAGAUAAUAGUGUUUAUUAGAUAAGAAAAGGUUUUGUCAAGAUCUUGAUCAUUCAUUUGGUAUGACACCAACUAUAAAAUAAUUUUAUCUUCAUUCCACUCACAAGAUUUAUAUUAAAUGUACAUAACAAAAAAUAGUAAAAAGAGAUGAAGUUUUAUUUAUGUCAUCUAAAUCUAUAUCUAUAUAAUAUAUGAAAGCAUAAUUGCAACGGGUUGGCCACGGGGACCUCUGACGCCCCACACCAUUGCGACGGGCGGGGUCUUCCUAGGCCUCUAAAGCUGCCAUUUACGACUCUCUUUUCCACUCCUAUUUAGGAAGGUCCAAGUCAUUUCCGACUAGAUUUGACAAGGGGUUUAUCUAAAAGAUGGAGAGACGAUGGAACCUUCUCCUACUACAUUUCACACUUUACCUACGAUGGACCACUAGACGACAACAAAGACUAGACGGAUUGUUAUGUAGCUAAGCCUGAGAUUGUGAAGGAACUGUAUUGUAUUUGUAAAAGCCUCCAAUCUAUGGUGCCAGACUAGGGGGCUCACAAGACUUAUACAAGUCUUUUACAGAUUUCUUGAGCAUAAAGGAAAGGGUCUACCUCCCCGGUGGUGGAGCUUUACCUGUUUGAGAUUAUUCAACUAGAGGAAUUGGGACUAUGUGAAGUCACAGGUGACCUUGAAAAGGUCACUGCCAACAUCACAGCGCUUACUGCGAGUGUGGGAACCUUGAACGUGCAGUCGUCCACCUCAUAAGCGUUUGAAUUGUUUGCUUGAUAGGCUAACAACAUUUUUCUGGCCUUCCGAUGAUAGGAUUUGAUUAUUUCUUUUAUUCUACUGAAUGAAUGAAUGAUUUUCAAAUUUAUCUCUACUUUCCUUUUCUAU
This is a long non-coding RNA of Salvia miltiorrhiza (redroot sage), 936 nucleotides long. RefSeq lists it as uncharacterized. The record is from RefSeq and is a predicted model, not a curated record. NCBI's taxonomy places the organism in Eukaryota, Viridiplantae, Streptophyta, Magnoliopsida, Lamiales, Lamiaceae. The transcript is spliced from 2 exons.